UACAGAGACUGCAAGCGUUAUUCGGAUUCACUGGGCGUAAAGGGUGCGCAGGCGGCCGUGUGUGUGAGGCGUGAAAGCCCGGGGCUUAACCCCGGAAUUGCACCUCAAACUACAUGGCUAGAGCAUUGGAGAGGGUAGCGGAAUUCACGGUGUAGCAGUGAAAUGCGUAGAUAUCGAGAGGAACACCGGUGGCGAAGGCGGCCUUCUGGACAGUGACUGACGCUGAGACACGAAAGCGUGGGGAGCAAACAGG
Molecule: ribosomal RNA, 253 nt
Filed under: uncultured bacterium
Lineage: Bacteria
Description: partial 16S ribosomal RNA
Rfam family: Bacterial small subunit ribosomal RNA
Source: RNAcentral